AGUGAACGCUGGCGGUAGGCCUAACACAUGCAAGUCGAACGGCAGCACAGUAAGAGCUUGCUCUUACGGGUGGCGAGUGGCGGACGGGUGAGGAAUACAUCGGAAUCUACUUUUUCGUGGGGGAUAACGUAGGGAAACUUACGCUAAUACCGCAUACGACCUACGGGUGAAAGCAGGGGAUCUUCGGACCUUGCGCGAUUGAAUGAGCCGAUGUCGGAUUAGCUAGUUGGCGGGGUAAAGGCCCACCAAGGCGACGAUCCGUAGCUGGUCUGAGAGGAUGAUCAGCCACACUGGAGCUGAGACACGGUCCAGGCUCCUACGGGGGGCAGCAGUGGGGAAUAUUGGACAAUGGGCGCAAGCCUGAUCCAGCCAUACCGCGUGGGUGAAGAAGGCCUUCGGGUUGUAAAGCCCUUUUGUUGGGAAAGAAAAGCAGCAGGUUAAUACCCCGCUGUUCUGACGGUACCCAAAGAAUAAGCACCGGCUAACUUCGU
RNAcentral lists this ribosomal RNA (491 nucleotides) under uncultured bacterium. RNAcentral's name for it is "partial 16S ribosomal RNA". It matches the Rfam family "Bacterial small subunit ribosomal RNA", at positions 29 to 506 of the family's 1533-position model. The record is from RNAcentral.